Molecule: ribosomal RNA, 253 nt
Filed under: uncultured bacterium
Lineage: Bacteria
Description: partial 16S ribosomal RNA
Rfam family: Bacterial small subunit ribosomal RNA
Source: RNAcentral
UACGAAGGGGGCUAGCGUUGCUCGGAAUCACUGGGCGUAAAGGGUGCGUAGGCGGGUCUUUAAGUCAGGGGUGAAAUCCUGGAGCUCAACUCCAGAACUGCCUUUGAUACUGAAGAUCUUGAGUGCGGGAGAGGUGAGUGGAACUGCGAGUGUAGAGGUGAAAUUCGUAGAUAUUCGCAAGAACACCAGUGGCGAAGGCGGCUCACUGGCCCGAUACCGACGCUGAGGCACGAAAGCGUGGGGAGCAAACAGG